GGGUUGUGAGGUUAAGCGACUAAGCGUACACGGUGGAUGCCCUGGCAGUCAGAGGCGAUGAAGGGCGUGCUAAUCUGCGAUAAGCGCCGGUAAGGUGAUAUGAACCGUUAUAACCGGCGAUACCCGAAUGGGGAAACCCAGUGUGACUCGUCACACUAUCAUUAACUGAAUCCAUAGGUUAAUGAGGCGAACCGGGGGAACUGAAACAUCUAAGUACCCGAGGAAAAGAAAUCAACCGAGAUUCCCCCAGUAGCGGCGAGCGAACGGGGAGGAGCCCAGAGCCUGAAUCAGCAUGUGUGUUAGUGGAAGCGUCUGGAAAGGCGCGCGAUACAGGGUGACAGCCCCGUACACAAAAGCGCAUGUGCUGUGAGCUCGAUGAGUAGGGCGGGACACGUGGUAUCCUGUCUGAAUAUGGGGGGACCAUCCUCCAAGGCUAAAUACUCCUGACUGACCGAUAGUGAACCAGUACCGUGAGGGAAAGGCGAAAAGAACCCCGGCGAGGGGAGUGAAAAAGAACCUGAAACCGUGUACGUACAAGCAGUGGGAGCACAGGUUUACCUGUGUGACUGCGUACCUUUUGUAUAAUGGGUCAGCGACUUAUAUUCUGUAGCAAGGUUAACCGAAUAGGGGAGCCGGAGGGAAACCGAGUCUUAAUUGGGCGUUAAGUUGCAGGGUAUAGACCCGAAACCCGGUGAUCUAGCCAUGGGCAGGUUGAAGGUUGGGUAACACUAACUGGAGGACCGAACCGACUAAUGUUGAAAAAUUAGCGGAUGACCUGUGGCUGGGGGUGAAAGGCCAAUCAAACCGGGAGAUAGCUGGUUCUCCCCGAAAGCUAUUUAGGUAGCGCCUCGUGAAUUCAUCUCCGGGGGUAGAGCACUGUUUCGGCUAGGGGGCCAUCCCGGCUUACCAACCCGAUGCAAACUGCGAAUACCGGAGAAUGUUAUCACGGGAGACACACGGCGGGUGCUAACGUCCGUCGUGAAGAGGGAAACAACCCAGACCGCCAGCUAAGGUCCCAAAGUCAUGGUUAAGUGGGAAACGAUGUGGGAAGGCCCAGACAGCCAGGAUGUUGGCUUAGAAGCAGCCAUCAUUUAAAGAAAGCGUAAUAGCUCACUGGUCGAGUCGGCCUGCGCGGAAGAUGUAACGGGGCUAAACCAUGCACCGAAGCUGCGGCAGCGACGCUUAUGCGUUGUUGGGUAGGGGAGCGUUCUGUAAGCCUGUGAAGGUGUGUCGUGAGGCAUGCUGGAGGUAUCAGAAGUGCGAAUGCUGACAUAAGUAACGAUAAAGCGGGUGAAAAGCCCGCUCGCCGGAAGACCAAGGGUUCCUGUCCAACGUUAAUCGGGGCAGGGUGAGUCGACCCCUAAGGCGAGGCCGAAAGGCGUAGUCGAUGGGAAACGGGUUAAUAUUCCCGUACUUGGUGUUACUGCGAAGGGGGGACGGAGAAGGCUAUGUUGGCCGGGCGACGGUUGUCCCGGUUUAAGCGUGUAGGUGUGUGUUCCAGGUAAAUCCGGUUCACUUUAACACUGAGGCGUGAUGACGAGGCACUACGGUGCUGAAGCAACAAAUGCCCUGCUUCCAGGAAAAGCCUCUAAGCAUCAGGUAACAUCAAAUCGUACCCCAAACCGACACAGGUGGUCAGGUAGAGAAUACCAAGGCGCUUGAGAGAACUCGGGUGAAGGAACUAGGCAAAAUGGUGCCGUAACUUCGGGAGAAGGCACGCUGACAUGUAGGUGAAGUGAUUUACUCAUGGAGCUGAAGUCAGUCGAAGAUACCAGCUGGCUGCAACUGUUUAUUAAAAACACAGCACUGUGCAAACACGAAAGUGGACGUAUACGGUGUGACGCCUGCCCGGUGCCGGAAGGUUAAUUGAUGGGGUCAGCGCAAGCGAAGCUCCUGAUCGAAGCCCCGGUAAACGGCGGCCGUAACUAUAACGGUCCUAAGGUAGCGAAAUUCCUUGUCGGGUAAGUUCCGACCUGCACGAAUGGCGUAAUGAUGGCCAGGCUGUCUCCACCCGAGACUCAGUGAAAUUGAACUCGCUGUGAAGAUGCAGUGUACCCGCGGCAAGACGGAAAGACCCCGUGAACCUUUACUAUAGCUUGACACUGAACAUUGAGCCUUGAUGUGUAGGAUAGGUGGGAGGCUUUGAAGUGUGGACGCCAGUCUGCAUGGAGCCGACCUUGAAAUACCACCCUUUAAUGUUUGAUGUUCUAACGUGGACCCGUUAUCCGGGUUGCGGACAGUGUCUGGUGGGUAGUUUGACUGGGGCGGUCUCCUCCUAAAGAGUAACGGAGGAGCACGAAGGUUGGCUAAUCCUGGUCGGACAUCAGGAGGUUAGUGCAAUGGCAUAAGCCAGCUUGACUGCGAGCGUGACGGCGCGAGCAGGUGCGAAAGCAGGUCAUAGUGAUCCGGUGGUUCUGAAUGGAAGGGCCAUCGCUCAACGGAUAAAAGGUACUCCGGGGAUAACAGGCUGAUACCGCCCAAGAGUUCAUAUCGACGGCGGUGUUUGGCACCUCGAUGUCGGCUCAUCACAUCCUGGGGCUGAAGUAGGUCCCAAGGGUAUGGCUGUUCGCCAUUUAAAGUGGUACGCGAGCUGGGUUUAGAACGUCGUGAGACAGUUCGGUCCCUAUCUGCCGUGGGCGCUGGAGAACUGAGGGGGGCUGCUCCUAGUACGAGAGGACCGGAGUGGACGCAUCACUGGUGUUCGGGUUGUCAUGCCAAUGGCACUGCCCGGUAGCUAAAUGCGGAAGAGAUAAGUGCUGAAAGCAUCUAAGCACGAAACUUGCCCCGAGAUGAGUUCUCCCUGAGACUUAGAGUCUCCUGAAGGAACGUUGAAGACGACGACGUUGAUAGGCCGGGUGUGUAAGCGCAGCGAUGCGUUGAGCUAACCGGUACUAAUGAACCGUGAGGCUUAACCUUACAACGCCGAAG
This 2928-nucleotide ribosomal RNA is filed under the name Salmonella enterica. Its description in RNAcentral is "bacterial LSU rRNA". It matches the Rfam family "Bacterial large subunit ribosomal RNA". Lineage: Bacteria; Pseudomonadati; Pseudomonadota; Gammaproteobacteria; Enterobacterales; Enterobacteriaceae. The record is from RNAcentral.